GUGUUUGUGUGGUAAAUAACACUAGGUUGCUAGGUAAGAACAAUACUUGAUACUAUAUAAACUUACUUUUAGUAUAUUUUCUAGUAAAUGAGCAGUAAACUAAUAAACGUCUUUUCACACGUUUCCGUGAUAUUUGAAGUUCUAAGCCUGUUUAACCGAUAACUCUUCUCUCUUCCCGUGCUUUCUUCACUUCUUUCCCUGAACUCGCUCUUCUUAACUUCAUUAGUUCCCCGGUUCGAUAUCUACCGUCCUGGUUGAACCCUUCUUUCUUCUCUUUAUCGUCCCGGUUUAGCAUUUCACCGUCUUGUCUCCUCCCCUAGUUUUAGGGAUCGCGUCGGAUUUAAGGGAAACCCGGACCGUGUGUAGAGAGAGGGAGUGGGGAGGAAGAGGUGAUGGCCGGCAGCGGCGCCGAUCCGGCCGCACCGCCACGCGGUGGCGCGGUGGUCGUGUGGGUGGUGUGCGGUGGUUUAGGUAGGUGGUAGCGGUGGUAGAGGUCGGUGGAGGUGUGGAGCGCGCGGCCUGGUCUGUUCUCCCAGUGCCCGCAGACCAGGAGGCGCACUCGCGGGGGUACAACGACUAGAAGAAGAGGUUGACGGCAACGAGGAGGGGAGCGGGGAAGACGACGACGAGAAGGGACGAAGACGAAGGAUACGGAACGACGACGAGGAUUGAACGACGAGCGACGACGACGAAGAAGUAGGAGUUUAGACGACGAUGUGAAGAGACUUAAACUUAGAACGACGACGACGACGAGAGAGAGAGAGAGAGAGAGAGAGAGAGAGAGAGAGAGAGAGAGAUAACGCUUGAAAUCUUCACAUUAUUACAAGUCUUAACACAUUACAGGUCCCAACACAUUAUAAGUCUGACCAUAUUAUAUCAUGAACAAUACAACCUAGACUGAACAACUACGGGAGAAUUAAACCCUCCACUAACUAGAUAGUCUUAGACGAAUACUCAUAAUCAUAAAACGAUCGUACAUACACACAAGUGGGACACAUAAAGAUGAAGGUCAUGAUCAAUUGAAACACACACAAAUUAAAAGUCAGAGACACUAUCGAAGCAGAGACACUGUUUAUACAAACAUUACACUGGGUAUAGGUAAGACGAUAUACACAAGUACAGGACAAAAAGGAAACACAAUGAUAAAAUCAAAGAGUACGUUUAUUUUUAUUAUGGUUUUUCUGUCUCUCAUAUUAGACUUGGAGGUAAACGAAGAAAAGUAAAUGAAACAGACAACUAAAAGACCUUGACAGAAUCUAUCGAAUCCAAAUAAAAGGACGAUAGUAGUGGGCUUAGUACAAUGGAUCGAAAUCAGAACACGGCAGCAACUAGCAGAUCAGGGACACCUCUUAAGUUGUAGGUAUCAAACCCACAUUUUUGGGAUGACAUGAAUGUUUUGCUAGUAAAACCGCGGUAACGGCCCCCGAUCGCAGCACGCUGGCACAAUCCGAUAUCUGAUCCAAAACGAAGACAAAGAUAGACCACGGUAUAUAAACACUAUAUAGAGAAUGGGGAUUGGUGACAAGGUCAAUAGAAGAGAAAGAAAAGAACAAGUAAAACAUCCAACUUAACAGAAGAACCUUUACCGUAAGAUGAGUCUAUUAGUACGAAUACGUUCGUUGUGAUGUUUAUCGUGCCUUUCAUAAGUUCUUGACUAUUCCUUAACCCAUGUUACUCCUCUCGUUGUUGAUACGUGGUGUUGUCAAAAUAAGUCGAGGAUAAGUAUAUGGAGUCUUGGUCCUCUACAACGGUUACCUCAAUUUACCAGGAGGUAAACCAGUUGGUUGUGGAAGUUGUGUUCACGGGUGUGUUCUACUAAAACUGCUAUAUCUGUUCGAGUGUAACGAAUCAGAGCUCAAGUGAACCUCACGACUUCUACUAGGUUAGUCCGGCCACUAUGAUCUCCUUUACUUCUUCUAGUUCUCACCUUUUCUCAAUCACCUCCUUCAUUCCUUCUAACUCUUCUUGUAGUUGCGACCGCCGUGAUAAAGAAGUGUCGAUCUCGACUCAUAAAGUCCCUAUAGGGAACUCCACACACUCAAAGGUUGUGGCAGUGUAGGUCGACUCGUUCUAUCGUUCUCGGGUCUCCUUCUCUAUGGAGUCUAACUUCUUCUAGUUGAGUUUCUGUUCCUUGUUCUCCUAGGUCUCGAGCUUUCGGGUUCGUUAGUUCAACUUCUAAGUAGUAGAUAAUGAGAACUUCUUCAUCUUCUUCGACAACAUCAACUUCUACUUCUUGCUCUUUAAGUAAACGGAUAACAGUAUGUUCUCGCAUUACAUCGUCCAAAUAGAUUAGGAGAACUACUGUACGCAGGUAUACUAGACAAACGAUGAUGAAACGUAACGUACUACGGUAGACAAUUUCAUCUAAACUUUUUCAUAAACGAACCUAUACUAGUAUAUAUGGGACAAUCACCGUAAUGAGUGUAAUCACAACUACUGUCAAUGAAAGGAGCACGAUCUGCAUACGAAUUACUUUGUAAAGUAAGAGUACGAUCUUAGUACGAAUUACUUUGUAUAGUAGGUGUACGAUCAUAACUCGAACGACUAAGGCUGGUAGGAUUUGUACACGAAAUAUCGAUACGAAUACAUUAACCUAUAAGCUAACUACUGAACCUCCCGUAACAGGGAUGGUGAACGUAACAGAGAAAGCAACUCACGAGAAAAUCCAAGAACGAACACGUGUUUAGUGAAGUACGACUGGUCCAAGCUCCACUGUAAGGAACCCUGGGACCACCUGAGUCUCGUACCACUUCUCCUCUUCGUUCCCCGUGUGUGCUUCUUCUCACUUCGACCUCGUCCGUACUCCUAUCUCUUCGUUUUCCUCUCCUCGACGUCAACCACUCCACUAGCUCUCACGAUGUAGUAGUUUCGGGCCACUCAACAAAGUACUGGGUAAAACUUUAGUAGUAGGUAACUACGAACGACUUAAUUUAACGAUAAACCCAACGAACACGGUAAAGAAUUUACAACAGGGUGACUUAAAGUGGAAACUGUAUACCACGAACUACUCUUAUACGCUUGACUAACAACUUACGGGACAUUUGAUCACUAGAUGUGGGACAAACGAAACGACUUUCAUCACUUUCGAUAAUCAAAACUCACGAGUUUAGGGAUCACGUGAUCAUUUGAAUUAGUAAAAGACGAAAAUGGAACUAUGUGAGUCUAGUAAUUCACAAUCUACUACUCAAACACGGAUAACACAAGGGUAACUCUCGUUAGUGAAAUGGUGAUACCUGAUCAUACGAUACAAGGGACCUAGCCACCGUACACUUGGUCUGUACCUCUUCACUACUAAGUACAAAAACACGAAUACGCAAUAAGUAAAUUCUAUUCAUUAUUACUUAUUUAUUCAGAUUGAUGGAUGUCAUCGUACAGUACAAAGGACCUAGCCACCGUACACUUUAGUCCAAUCGAACCCGUCAUUAAUUAUUAUUUUUAACAUUAACAGUUUGGUCCACAUAUGGUUCAAGAGACCUAGCCACCAUACAAGGAAACCCCUCUGUUUGUUUUUUUAACCAGCUCGGUCCACAUAUCGUACAAGAGCCCUAGCCACCAUACAAGGAAACCACUCUGGCUAUUUUAUAAUAGUAAUGAAGGAAGUUUAAGUUAUUCACGAAGUUGGUAUUACAAUACAAGACCUAUUAUUCAAAAAAGACCCUAGUACGAGAGAAAUCCUUGGGAAACCGUGUUAGUCGUAAACUUGAACAACUAGGUGAAAAUAGUAACAUUUUCAAAUUUUAUUAUCUCAGAUGAUCAUAGGAUAACGAAACAUCGUGAGAAUUGGUAUCUAAAAGUGAUCGCUUCAAGUUUCGUACGUAACAAACCUCUAGAUGAAGUGACCCUGUAGGAGGUCAGUCAAGCGGCAAGUGAUGGAACGAGGACAGUUUACGGAAAUGAACUCCUGUUCAUUUCUAAAUUCACACCCCCUUGAACUAUUCACGUAAAGGAUAAGGAUAAAACCGUGUGUUUGUGUGGUAAAUAACACUAGGUUGCUAGGUAAGAACAAUACUUGAUACUAUAUAAACUUACUUUUAGUAUAUUUUCUAGUAAAUGAGCAGUAAACUAAUAAAACGUCUUUUCACGCGUUUCCGUGAUAUUUGAAGUUCUAAACCUGUUUAACCGAUAACUCUUCUCUCUUCCCGUCCUUUCUUCACUUCUUUCCCUGAACUCGCUCUUCUUAACUUCAUUAGUUCCCCGGUUCGAUAUCUACCGUCCUGGUUGAACCCUUCUUUCUUCUCUUUAUCGUCCCGGUUUAGCAUUUCACCGUCUUGUCUCCUCCCCUAGUUUUAGGGAUCGCGUCGGAGUUAAGGGAAACCCGGACCGUGUGUAGAGAGAGGGAGUGGGGAGGAAGAGGUGAUGGCCGACGGCAGCGCCGGUCCGGCCGCACCGCCACGCGGUAGCGCGGUGGUCGUGUGGGUGGUGUGCGGUGGUUUAGGUAGGUGGUAGAGGUCGGUGGAGGUGUGGAGCGCGCGGCCUGGUCUGUUCUCCCAGUGCCCGCAGACCAGGAGGCGCACUCACGGGGGUACGACGACUAGAAGAAGAGGUUGACGGCAACGAGGAGGGGAGCGGGGAAGACAACGACGAGAAGGGACGAAGACGAAGGAUGCGGAACGACGACGAGGAUUGAACGACGAGCAACGACGAAGAAGAAGUAGGAGUUUAGACGACGACGUGAAGAGACUUAGACUUAGAACGACGAGAGAGAGAGAUAACGCUUGAAAUCUUCACAUUACAAGUCUUAACUCAUUACAGGUCCCAACACAACAAUACAACCUAGACUGAACAACUACGGGAGAAUUAAACCCUCCACUAACUAGAUAGUCUUAGUCAUAAUCAUAAAACGAUCGUACAUACACACAAGUGGGACACAUAAAGAUGAAGGUCAUGAUCAAUUGAAACACACACAAAUUAAAAGUCAGAGACACUAUCGAGGCAGAGACACUGUUUAUACAAACAUUACACUGGGUAUAGGUAAGACG
This 4979-nucleotide ribosomal RNA is filed under the name Triticum aestivum (bread wheat). RNAcentral's name for it is "partial small subunit ribosomal RNA". The record is from RNAcentral. Lineage: Eukaryota; Viridiplantae; Streptophyta; Magnoliopsida; Poales; Poaceae.